Molecule: ribosomal RNA, 445 nt
Filed under: uncultured bacterium
Lineage: Bacteria
Description: bacterial SSU rRNA
Rfam family: Bacterial small subunit ribosomal RNA
Source: RNAcentral
UCCAGACUCCUACGGGAGGCAGCAGUGGGGAAUAUUGGACAAUGGGGGAAACCCUGAUCCAGCGACGCCGCGUGAGUGAAGAAGUAUUUCGGUACGUAAAGCUCUAUCAGCAGGAAAGAAAAUGACGGUACCUGACUAAGAAGCCCCGGCUAACUACGUGCCAGCAGCCGCGGUAAUACGUAGGGGGCGAGCGUUAUCCGGAUUUACUGGGUGUAAAGGGAGCGUAGACGGCUGGUCAAGUCUGAAGUGAAAGCCCGGGGCUUAACCCCGGAACGGCUUUGGAAACUGAGCAGCUAGAGUGCUGGAGAGGUAAGCGGAAUUCCUAGUGUAGCGGUGAAAUGCGUAGAUAUUAGGAGGAACACCAGUGGCGAAGGCGGCUUACUGGACAGUAACUGACGUUGAGGCUCGAAAGCGUGGGGAGCAAACAGGAUUAGAUACCCGCGUA